Molecule: long non-coding RNA, 930 nt
Organism: Apis florea (little honeybee)
Lineage: Eukaryota; Metazoa; Arthropoda; Insecta; Hymenoptera; Apidae
Source: RefSeq, a predicted model, not a curated record
UAAAAUUAUUGAAUUUCAAUAAAUUUUCAAAUUAUCUUUAUCAAAUACUUUUAUUUCGAAUUACAUAUAUAAAUACUUGAAUACACUAUAUUAGUAUCGAUUCUAUUCAUUAGAAAGCAUAGUGUCACAUUCUUAUUUGAAAGUGAAUUGCGUAGAUUUUCUUCGGGUCGCAGAUUGCGUACAGCGUCUCCUUCGAUUUCCUGGCACGCAAUUGCGUAGACCUCGAUAUAUGCUUUAUCCCCGUACAGUAUAGAUUGGAAACCGGAUGUUCUACUCUCUACAGAAAUCUACAUUGACAUUUUAAGAAACUAGCCUAAAAGUUUUUCUUUUCGCGGUGAGAUCUUGAAUGACAUUGGAAUAUGAGGGAGAACAAAAGAAGCGAGCAGGCGUGAAAUAUAAUUGUUAGAACCGACAAUGAAUAGUGACAGAAUGCGCUAAUCGCCAAGAUUAACUUUCACAUAUUAUAACAAUUUUAUGAAUGUACUGGAAUGUUCUGAAAGAAUAGGAAGCUUUAUUAAGAUCAUAGCCGAUUACUCAACUAUGCUUGAAUAAAUUUUAAUUUUGCAGAAAUUUUCUCCUGUCAUUAACCUUGACGACUUAACUUAAGAUAUCUCCUAUUUAAUGUUCGGUUAAAUUACACUUGGUAUCUUCGUAUAUAUGUACAUUCUAUUCUGUUGAAUGUAUAUGUUUCUCAAAUGAAAAGAUAAUAAAUAAAGUGCUACACAUUGAACAACGUGUUUUACGGUUAGAUAACAAAAAUUUCACUUCAUCAGUUCAAGUCAACCAAAUAAGCAAUUUCCACGAUGGGAAAGUCACGAUGGUGGUUACAUCCUUAGCAUGAAACUGUUCGAAUGAAUAGAGAGUUGAAGAUGCAUCUGAGGUCGAAAAAAGUUAUGUUGGGUCGAAAGUGAAACUAACAUUUCAACGUGG